GACAGAGGGUGCAAACGUUGUUCGGAAUUACUGGGCGUAAAGCGCGUGUAGGCGGCCCAGCAAGUCGGAUGUGAAAGCCCUGGGCUUAACCUAGGAAGUGCAUUCGAAACUGCUGGGCUUGAGUUCUGGAGAGGAAGGCGGAAUUCUCGGUGUAGAGGUGAAAUUCGUAGAUAUCGAGAGGAACACCGGUGGCGAAGGCGGCCUUCUGGACAGUGACUGACGCUGAGACGCGAAAGCGUGGGGAGCAAAC
This 250-nucleotide ribosomal RNA is filed under the name uncultured bacterium. RNAcentral describes it as "partial 16S ribosomal RNA". It matches the Rfam family "Bacterial small subunit ribosomal RNA", at positions 524 to 773 of the family's 1533-position model. The record is from RNAcentral.